GUGCUUGCUUUGAUAGCACAUACACCAAAAUUGGAACGAUACAGAGAAGAUUAGCAUGGCCCCUGAGAAAGGAUGACAUGUAAUUUUUAAAAAUUAUAUUU
RNAcentral lists this small nuclear RNA (101 nucleotides) under Microcebus murinus (gray mouse lemur). The record is from RNAcentral. Lineage: Eukaryota; Metazoa; Chordata; Mammalia; Primates; Cheirogaleidae.